UACGGAGGGGGCUAGCGUUGUUCGGAAUCACUGGGCGUAAAGGGCGCGUAGGCGGCUGUUCAAGUCGGGGGUGAAAUCCCGUGGCUCAACCACGGAAUGGCCUUCGAUACUGGACGGCUAGAGACCGGAAGAGGUGAGUGGAACUGCGAGUGUAGAGGUGAAAUUCGUAGAUAUUCGCAAGAACACCAGUGGCGAAGGCGGCUCACUGGUCCGGUUCUGACGCUGAGGCGCGAAAGCGUGGGGAGCAAACAGG
RNAcentral lists this ribosomal RNA (253 nucleotides) under uncultured bacterium. RNAcentral describes it as "partial 16S ribosomal RNA". It matches the Rfam family "Bacterial small subunit ribosomal RNA", at positions 524 to 776 of the family's 1533-position model. The record is from RNAcentral.